GCACUCUUCAGUGAGUGAAUGACAGAUGCACAAUGGCGUCUUGCACUCUGAGAUGUUUGGAACGCUGUAUGCUUUCCUGUUUGAUGCUGGUCCUGAUUUCAUGUUUUACUUGAGCAUUGCAGUGUAGAUGAACAGCAUGAAAGCCCACACCUUGCCCUUUCUAUAGAAACUUCUUCUGAAGAGCUUGAUUGCGAUCUGGAUCAAGGCCAUGCCCGCCAUCGCGUGUUGCAGCCUGCUGACACAGGAUCAGAGGAGCAUUUCAGUCUGGACGAACAGCAUAGAAGCCGACAGCUUGCCCUUCCUGAUGAAACUUCUUUGGAGGACGUAGGCAGCGAAUAGGAACCUUGUCC
Molecule: long non-coding RNA, 350 nt
Organism: Ornithodoros turicata
Lineage: Eukaryota; Metazoa; Arthropoda; Arachnida; Ixodida; Argasidae
Exons: 4
Source: RefSeq, a predicted model, not a curated record